UAGGGAAUCUUCCACAAUGGACGCAAGUCUGAUGGAGCAACGCCGCGUGAGUGAAGAAGGUCUUCGGAUCGUAAAGCUCUGUUGUUGGUGAAGAAGGAUAGAGGCAGUAACUGGUCUUUAUUUGACGGUAAUCAACCAGAAAGUCACGGCUAACUACGUGCCAGCAGCCGCGGUAAUACGUAGGUGGCAAGCGUUGUCCGGAUUUAUUGGGCGUAAAGCGAGCGCAGGCGGAAUGAUAAGUCUGAUGUGAAAGCCCACGGCUCAACCGUGGAACUGCAUCGGAAACUGUCAUUCUUGAGUGCAGAAGAGGAGAGUGGAACUCCAUGUGUAGCGGUGGAAUGCGUAGAUAUAUGGAAGAACACCAGUGGCGAAGGCGGCUCUCUGGUCUGCAACUGACGCUGAGGCUCGAAAGCAUGGGUAGCGAACAGGAUUAGAUACCCUGGUAGUCCAUGCCGUAAACGAUGAGCGCUAGGUGUUGGGGACUUUCCGGUCCUCAGUGGCCGCAGCAAA
RNAcentral lists this ribosomal RNA (510 nucleotides) under uncultured bacterium. RNAcentral's name for it is "partial 16S ribosomal RNA". It matches the Rfam family "Bacterial small subunit ribosomal RNA", at positions 355 to 855 of the family's 1533-position model. The record is from RNAcentral.